GAUGAACGCUGGCGGCGUGCCUAAUACAUGCAAGUCGAGCGAACGGCCGAGAAGCUUGCUUUUCUGAUGUUAGCGGCGGACGGGUGAGUAACACGUGGAUAACCUACCUAUAAGACUGGGAUAACUUCGGGAAACCGGAGCUAAUACCGGAUAAUAUUUUGAACCGCAUGGUUCAAAAGUGAAAGACGGUCUUGCUGUCACUUAUAGAUGGAUCCGCGCUGCAUUGGCUAGUUGGUAAGGUAACGGCUUACCAAGGCAACGAUGCAUAGCCGACCUGAGAGGGUGAGCGGCCACACUGGAACUGAGACACGGUCCAGACUACUACGAGAGGCAGCAGUAGGGAAUCUUCCGCAAUGGGCGAAAGCCUGACGGAGCAACGCCGCGUGAGUGAUGAAGGUCUUCGGAUCGUAAAACUCUGUUAUUAGGGAAGAACAUAUGUGUAAGUAACUGUGCACAUCUUGACGGUACCUAAUCAGAAAGCCACGGCUAACUACGUG
Molecule: ribosomal RNA, 497 nt
Filed under: uncultured bacterium
Lineage: Bacteria
Description: partial 16S ribosomal RNA
Rfam family: Bacterial small subunit ribosomal RNA
Source: RNAcentral